RNAcentral lists this long non-coding RNA (596 nucleotides) under Malus domestica (apple). Its description in RNAcentral is "long non-coding RNA (MDOM_LNC007757)". Lineage: Eukaryota; Viridiplantae; Streptophyta; Magnoliopsida; Rosales; Rosaceae. The record is from RNAcentral.
UGUUUGGAAUAUUCUGAACACUUUUCCAGAAGGCCACGAACCCAUCUGAGGUCAUCUUGGGCUCCAAAAACGCAAUUUAAGCCCAAAAACGUCAUUUUCCAGCACUGUGCACUGCUUCUUUAUUUCAUCGUCAGAAAAUAACCGCUUGGUGGAAAAAUCCCAAAUUUUGAUACGAUCAAGCUAAGUGACUCACGAACGUCCUCCAACUGGAAUUACUCCAAAAUUCAUCCAUUUGGUCCUGUUUUGCUCCAGAGGAAGUUGAAAGUCCUAUAUUAAAAAUACAAUUCAAAGUAUCAAAAUUCUUCCAAAAUAUUAACCAAAAUAUACUAAGAUUAGGGUAAAAUAUAUAAUAUAAAAUCUACUCAUCAAAUACCCCCAAACUUAGCUUUUUGCUUGUCCUCAAGCAAAAUAAGACUCAACCAAAAAUAAAAACUUAACAAACUAGACAACUAGCUAAAUUUAACUGACAAAAAUUUUCACCUUCAAAGUUGCAAUCCAUAGCAAAUUUCAAAAACUAGAACAUCUUUUCAAAAGUUCCAACUAAUCCCACCACAGAGUCUAAGCCAUUUAGAAUCAAUUAGAAAAGAAUUCACAAA